RNAcentral lists this long non-coding RNA (468 nucleotides) under Panax ginseng (ginseng). RNAcentral's name for it is "long non-coding RNA (PGIN_LNC008185)". Lineage: Eukaryota; Viridiplantae; Streptophyta; Magnoliopsida; Apiales; Araliaceae. The record is from RNAcentral.
UAGAUAGAGGAUUCCAUUAGAUUAGAUUAGAGUAAAUUAGAUCAAAACACUAGUUCUUAUUAGAUUUGGAGAUUGAAGCAACUUGGAGACCAUUGAAGAUUCAAAGUAGGAGCAAGGAGGGAGCAUCAAAUCUGCAGACAACAGAUUAUAUCUUCUUAUCUUAUUCUAUCUUUGUCUUUUAUUGUUUAUUCAAUUGUGGAUUCUUAGUUUUAAUUCAAUAAUCAUAAACUAAUUCUUUGUUUGAGAUUACAAUGGAUCUUAUUGUGUAGUUUAUUUUAAUAUGAUUCACUAUUAAUUAUUAUGUUCUAUCGUGAGGAUUGUCUAUUUUGAUUUGGACUUAAUUGUUUAAUUAAUUGGCCAUCAAUUACCGUGAUAAUUUAUAUGAACUCGAGAGAUGAAGUUUAGAUUUAGAUCUAAUCAUAAUAGCAUGUGAUUGUGUUUUCUGCAUGGCGUUGGAAUACAUAAUUU